This 431-nucleotide ribosomal RNA is filed under the name uncultured bacterium. Its description in RNAcentral is "partial 16S ribosomal RNA". It matches the Rfam family "Bacterial small subunit ribosomal RNA", at positions 29 to 507 of the family's 1533-position model. The record is from RNAcentral.
AACGAACGCUGGCGGCAGGCCUAACACGUGCAAGUCGAGCGGCCUUUCGGGGGAGCGGCGGGCGGGUGAGUAACGCGUGGGAAUAUGCCCUUCUCUACGGAAUAGCCUCGGGAAACUGAGAGUAAUACCGAAUACGCCCUGAGGGGGGAAGGUUUAUCGGGGUAGGAUUAGCCCGCGUUGGAUUAGGGAGUUGGUGGGGUAAUGGCCUGCCAAGCCGACGAUCCAUAGCUGGGUUGAGAGGAUGAUCAGCCACACUGGGACUGAGACACGGCCCAGACUCCUACGGGAGGCAGCAGUGGGGAAUCUUAGACAAGGGGGGCAAACCUGAUCAAGCCAUGCCGCGUGAGUGAGGAAGGCCUUAGGGUUGUAAAGCUCUUUCAGCUGGGAAGAUAAUGACGGUACCAGCAGAAGAAGCCCCGGCUAACUCCGUG